CAAUAGCGUAUAUUAAAGUUGUUGCAGUUAAAAAGCUCGUAGUUGGAUUUCUGGUGGGAGCGAUCGGUCUGGCGAUUAGCGCGAGUACUUGCAUCGUCUCCGGCCAUCCUUGGGGAGAGUCUGUCUGGCAUUAAGUUGUCGGGCAGAGGAUCCUCAUCGUUUACUGUGAAAAAAUUAGAGUGUUCAAAGCAGGCUUAUGCCGUUGAAUAUAUUAGCAUGGAAUAAUAAGAUAGGACUUUGGUACUAUUUUGUUGGUUUGCGCACCAAAGUAAUGAUUAAUAGGGACAGUUGGGGGUAUUCGUAUUCCGUUGUCAGAGGUGAAAUUCUUGGAUUUACGGAAGACGAACUACUGCGAAAGCAUUUACCAAGGAUGUUUUCAUUAA
This 383-nucleotide ribosomal RNA is filed under the name uncultured eukaryote. RNAcentral's name for it is "partial 18S ribosomal RNA". It matches the Rfam family "Eukaryotic small subunit ribosomal RNA", at positions 592 to 976 of the family's 1831-position model. The record is from RNAcentral.